This 429-nucleotide ribosomal RNA is filed under the name Triticum aestivum (bread wheat). RNAcentral describes it as "partial small subunit ribosomal RNA". Lineage: Eukaryota; Viridiplantae; Streptophyta; Magnoliopsida; Poales; Poaceae. The record is from RNAcentral.
AUGCAGCCCGCCGUGGUGCCGCCGCCGCCGGCUGCGGCGGCCGCGGAUGAGAGGCCGCGCUGCUGGUCUUCUCCCAAGGCCGCGGCGUUAGGGUUCGCGAGGAUUUUAUGCCUCUGCGCCCCGGCGUGCUCCUACGAGGCCGUCCUCCUGGGCGUCCACGUCGACGUUGCGCCGCCCGUGCCGAGGAGGAGGGGGAGGAGGAGGAGGAGGUAUGCCGGCGGUAUGCCUGCUUCGGCGCCGCCGUCGUACAGAGGGUCGGUGGUGCGGCACGCGCUGGUGCGGCGGCUCAUGCUGGAGGAGCUGGCCACGCGCCAGCGCGAGCGGAUGGAGGCGGUUCACGUCGGGUUCCUACGCUCCAAAGAGAUGUGGCAGGCGCCAGGGUGCAGCCGGCUUCGACGGAUGUCACUGCCAACAGAUGCCGCUAACUGA